CUACGGGAGGCUCCAGUGGGGAAUUUUGCGCAAUGGGCGAAAGCCUGACGCAGCAAGACCGCGUGAGUGAAGAAGGCCUUUGGGUCGUAAAGCUCUUUUAUUGGGGAAGAUAGUGACGGUACCCAAUGAAUAAGCACCGGCUAACUCCGUGCCAGCAGCCGCGGUAAUACGGAGGGUGCAAGCGUUGUUCGGAUUUACUGGGCGUAAAGGGCACGUAGGCGGCAUAGUAAGUUAAGGGUGAAAUCCCGGGGCUCAACUCCGGAACUGCUCUUAAAACUGCUAAGCUUGAGAUGGUCAGAGGCGGGUAGAAUUCCUGGUGUAGAGGUGAAAUUCGUAGAUAUCAGGAGGAAUACCGGAGGCGAAGGCGGCCCGCUGGGACUAUUCUGACGCUAAGGUGCGAAAGCGUGGGGAGCAAACGGGAUUAGAUACCCUUGUAGUC
RNAcentral lists this ribosomal RNA (439 nucleotides) under uncultured bacterium. RNAcentral's name for it is "partial 16S ribosomal RNA". It matches the Rfam family "Bacterial small subunit ribosomal RNA", at positions 339 to 795 of the family's 1533-position model. The record is from RNAcentral.